This is a long non-coding RNA of Helianthus annuus (common sunflower), 894 nucleotides long. RefSeq lists it as uncharacterized. The transcript has 3 exons. NCBI's taxonomy places the organism in Eukaryota, Viridiplantae, Streptophyta, Magnoliopsida, Asterales, Asteraceae. The record is from RefSeq and is a predicted model, not a curated record.
CCAAAAUACAUUAUUCAUCUUUCUUCUAUGUUCAAAGUUACCAAUUGCAGCUAUUGAAGCCCUCGUCGCCGGACCCUCAUCGCCGGACCCCAGAAAAAAACGGUUCAGAUAUCUUUUACUUUUAGUCUUCACUCUUCACGUUCUUCUUCACCUCUACUUUUGUAAGAACUUUUUUGAUAAUUGAUGCCAUAUUAUCAACCCAUAUCUAGUUUUCCCGACUCGUCAGAACCAAAAAAGAGAUGCCGGCCCAACCUUUUUUACACCGGUUUUCCGGUUCAACUACCGGCCACCGAUCCGGCCGGGCGGUUCGUGCACAAACGGUUCAAAUGGGGUGACCGGACCGCUGAAACCACCGGUCUCCGGUUAAACCGGCCGGACCGGCCGGUCCGGUCCGGUUUUCAAAACCUUGGUGCCUUCAGUUGCACCUAUUGAUGUUGUAAAUGAAAUUUAUGAAGAACCACAUGGUCCUGUUCAUCGGUUUUCCCGUAUGGCUGAUACCGAUUUUAUGCUUCCCGAUCGUGUUUCUGAAAUGGCCAAACUUGAUCUUGGUUUAAAAGAAAUAACUGUCAGACUUUUGAAUCGGGAUCCCACAGUGCAGUUUACCAACGGUACUAGACGUGAAUGGAAACGUGAAGGUUUUCGAUAUGCUUUAAGUCGAUGGUCGGAGUUCAUGAAAAUUGAUGGAAUUAAGGCCCGUGACACCGUUGACUUUUCUUUUGACGAAAAUGAGCAAGUGCUAAGUGUUGAAAAGGUUGUACCUUAUGUUAUGAGUAGUAAAUAGUUUUUUUUGACAUGGUUUUUGUUUUUUCCUUUUUGAUCAGUUAGAUAAUUACUUCUUAAAUGGUUUUUGGUUUUUAACAUUGUUAUUGUUUUCAAUAUCAAGAUAGUACAUUU